This is a long non-coding RNA of Lepidothrix coronata (blue-crowned manakin), 292 nucleotides long. RefSeq lists it as uncharacterized. Lineage: Eukaryota; Metazoa; Chordata; Aves; Passeriformes; Pipridae. The record is from RefSeq and is a predicted model, not a curated record. The transcript is spliced from 3 exons.
GAUAGUAGAUAGACCACAAAGGUAUUCAGUUACAAUGAUUCCUGCUGUGAAAGGUGAUUGAAAUGGUGAUAGACAUUGUUGUGAAUGGCUCAGAUCAGCCUCUACCGCUACGCUUCCUUUAGUUUGUCAGAGCUCUAGCUGAACUUGAACCCCUCUUUGCUGAUAUACAAUAUGUACUUCCAAUUAUAUUGGGAAAUGAGUCUGUGAAGGACAUCUGUUCCACGGGCACUCUCUCUGCUUCUCUGUGUUUGGUAACUGGGAUUCUCCCCUUCUGGGUCUUCUCUGACAGAUC